This is a non-coding RNA of Camelina sativa (false flax), 443 nucleotides long. The record is from RefSeq and is a predicted model, not a curated record. Lineage: Eukaryota; Viridiplantae; Streptophyta; Magnoliopsida; Brassicales; Brassicaceae.
UCUUUCCUUACUUCACACUCAUACGUCGGAAACAAAGAAAUCAUAGUCAUGGCUAAGUUUGCUUCCAUCUUCUCUCUUCUCUUUGCUACUCUUGUUUUCUUUGCUGCACUCGAAGCACCAACAAUGGUGGAAGCACAGAAGCUGUGUGAGAGGCCAAGUAUUGGGACUGCGCGAGGAAUUUGUAGUGUCAGUAAUAUUCCAUGCAGGGAUCAUUGCAUCCAAGUUGAGAAAGCUCUACAAGGAUCUUGCAAAUUUGUAUUCCCAAUUAACAAGUGUCUCUGUGUCUUUCCAUGUUAAUAGACUACAUUAAUAUUUUGAUGCUUAAUAUUAUGCGUUUAAUUCACAUAAAUAAGUCUGUCUCACUCUUUGAGUGAGCUUAUGACAUGUACCAGAGAUGAUUACGUCGGUUUCUUAUAAUAGUAUAAAUUUUAUACUCUUACCCA